CGAUGUUGGCCUGAUUCGAACAGACGCCUCCGAAGAGAAUAGAUUUCUAGUCUAUCGCAUUAGACCACUCUGCCACAACACC
RNAcentral lists this transfer RNA (82 nucleotides) under Fusarium acuminatum CS5907. Its description in RNAcentral is "tRNA-Ser". The record is from RNAcentral. Lineage: Eukaryota; Fungi; Ascomycota; Sordariomycetes; Hypocreales; Nectriaceae.